UGCCAGCCGCCGCGGUAAUACGAAGGGACCUAGCGUAGUUCGGAAUUACUGGGCUUAAAGAGUUCGUAGGUGGUUGAAAUAGUUGGUGGUGAAAUCCCAGAGCUUAACUCUGGAACUGCCAUCAAAACUUUUCAGCUAGAGUAUGAUAGAGGAAAGCAGAAUUUCUAGUGUAGAAGUGAAAUUCGUAGAUAUUAGAAAGAAUACCAAUUGCGAAGGCAGCUUUCUGGACCGUGAUCGACGCUGAGGAGCGAAAGCUAGGGGAGCAAACAGGAUUAGAUA
RNAcentral lists this ribosomal RNA (279 nucleotides) under uncultured bacterium. RNAcentral's name for it is "partial 16S ribosomal RNA". It matches the Rfam family "Bacterial small subunit ribosomal RNA", at positions 506 to 784 of the family's 1533-position model. The record is from RNAcentral.